Molecule: long non-coding RNA, 546 nt
Organism: Clupea harengus (Atlantic herring)
Lineage: Eukaryota; Metazoa; Chordata; Actinopteri; Clupeiformes; Clupeidae
Source: Ensembl
UGUCAUUUAGCCGUGUGCUUGCGAAGUUGAGAGGGCUUCUUUGACCGCCGGACCGACAAGCCAGGCGAGGACACGAACCACCCCUCCAACAAGUCGUGAAAGUGGCAGCACAGCGGUGGAGCUGUAAGAAGUGACUGGCUUUGAUAUCUGUGGAGUGGAGUGGAGGCCUGCAGCAUCUCCGCUCCGCUCCGCUCCUCCUAAAGCUCUCUGCACGGUGUGCAACGCGGCCCAGACUCAGCCCACAGGCGCGUGUGUGUGUUUGUGUGUGUGUGCGUGUGUCUGCGCGCAUGCGCGCGCCUGUGUGUGUGCGCGCGCUUGUGUGUGUGUGCACGCGCGCGCGCGUGUGUGUGUGUGUGUGUGAUUGUGUGUGUGUGUGUGUGUGUGUGUGUGUGUGUGUGUGUGCGAUUGUGUGUGUGUGUGUGUGUGUGUGCACGUGUGUGUGUGUGUGUGUGUGUGUGUGUGAUUGUGUGUGUGUGUGUGUGUGCACGUGUGUGUGUGUGUGUGUGUGUGUGUGUGAUUGUCUGUGUGUGUGUGUGUGUGUGUGUG